RNAcentral lists this ribosomal RNA (478 nucleotides) under uncultured bacterium. RNAcentral's name for it is "partial 16S ribosomal RNA". It matches the Rfam family "Bacterial small subunit ribosomal RNA", at positions 28 to 523 of the family's 1533-position model. The record is from RNAcentral.
GACGAACGCUGGCGGCGUGCUUAACACAUGCAAGUCGAACGGUAAGGCCCUUCGGGGUACACGAGUGGCGAACGGGUGAGUAACACGUGGGUGAUCUGCCCUGCACUUCGGGAUAAGCCUGGGAAACUGGGUCUAAUACCGGAUAGGACCACUGCCUGCAUGGGUGGUGGUGGAAAGCUUUUGCGGUGUGGGAUGGGCCCGCGGCCUAUCAGCUUGUUGGUGGGGUGAUGGCCUAUCAAGGCGACGACGGGUAGCCGGCCUGAGAGGGUGACCGGCCACACUGGGACUGAGAUACGGCCCAGACUCCCACGGGAGGCAGCAGUGGGGAAUAUUGCACAAUGGGCGCAAGCCUGAUGCAGCGACGCCGCGUGAGGGAUGACGGCCUUCGGGUUGUAAACCUCUUUCAGCACCGACGAAGCGCAAGUGACGGUAGGUGCAGAAGAAGGACCGGCCAACUACGUGCCAGCAGCCGCGGUAA